Molecule: non-coding RNA, 883 nt
Organism: Vicugna pacos (alpaca)
Lineage: Eukaryota; Metazoa; Chordata; Mammalia; Artiodactyla; Camelidae
Source: RefSeq, a predicted model, not a curated record
AACACCCUCUUUAGCAAAAUGUAUUUCAGUCUGUUGCAUUUGACAGUAAGAAGUGUUUUCUUAAUGGUCAAGUCUAUAAGCUGGAUCAGUGUAGGUGACACUGUAUCGCUGAAGCUUCCGGCUCAGACCUUUGCUUCUCAGCGUGCGUGGUUUCAGGGGCUCCAUGGAGACAAAAUGGACACAUCUCUUUCUUGGUGGAUGGGGGACCCGGGCAGGGAAGGAAGAAAAGAGUGCGGGAAGCCCCACAGCACUCUCUGUCCAGAGCACAAGGAACCUCUGCCUUCCUGCACCCCAAGUUCUUCCGGCUGUAAGAAUCUAUCAAACCGAUAGCUCAGUAUUAAAAGAAUCAGAACCGUGGCUCCAUUCUAAUAAAGCUUAAUUUAUAUGCAUGUUUGGUUUCAUUUUCUCAGCUCCUUUCCUCCUUGGUCUCUCUGUCUGCACUUCAGCCCCACCCCCCGCACCGCUUCUCUUUGUCUUCGUGGUCGUUGGGUUGAUUUCCACCAGCUGUGGAUUAACCCACUCCCUUGGACUCCUAAUUACCCACUUCUCCCGUCUUCCAGACCAGGCCUCUCAGGGUUCUCGUUCGAGGGCAAGAGCUGGAUGCCCUGUCCUGGGGAGGAGGUCGCAGCUGUGUCGCCAGUGUCUGCAGACAGACCCAUGGACGUUUUCAUCCUUGUGGUUUCAUCGCACAAAAGGUUCUCACUCAAAUGUGGCAUGACGUGUGAACAGACGAAAGAUUAAAAUCACCGAGGAAAUCGCUCCGUCUGAGCCCAGAUCACGACGCCUUUCAGUGACCCAGCGACCCAAAUGCUAUCUGUCAACUUGUCCUUCCAGAGACUUUUCACCCCAUGCUCUGCGGCUGCUACUCCAGGAAAAAAAAAAA